CGUGCGCCGUCUGGUAUCGUCGUCACGUUAGCGACGAGGAAUCACCGCUUGUUUGGUUUUCGGCGGACCGCGAUGGACAAAAAGCUGAGCCUUGCGCAAACGAUGAUCUCGGCGGGAGUCUUCUCCGUUAUCUCUUUCUGGUACGGCUUCAUGUUCGGGAGGGAAUCAGCUCGGAAGGAGCUGGGCGGCCUGAUUGAAGACCUCCGUCGAAGUAAUGCCGCGGCCUCCGAUGCCACAACGAAGAGCUCCCAGGAUUAGAGACCAAGUGUAUGGUGCCAAAAGAAACGAAGAUACUUCUUCAAUUGUUAGAUAGCAGCCUUUUCAUGUCCUUGUAAUUUUAGCUUUUUAUGUUCAAACAAGCUCUAAGCAAGUCGGACGGCAUUUUGGUAUGUUAUUUUUCUUCUUUUUCC
Long non-coding RNA from Musa acuminata AAA Group (dessert banana), 410 nucleotides. RefSeq lists it as uncharacterized. NCBI's taxonomy places the organism in Eukaryota, Viridiplantae, Streptophyta, Magnoliopsida, Zingiberales, Musaceae. The transcript is spliced from 3 exons. The record is from RefSeq and is a predicted model, not a curated record.